RNAcentral lists this ribosomal RNA (517 nucleotides) under Palaemon pacificus. RNAcentral describes it as "bacterial SSU rRNA". It matches the Rfam family "Eukaryotic small subunit ribosomal RNA", at positions 408 to 892 of the family's 1831-position model. Lineage: Eukaryota; Metazoa; Arthropoda; Malacostraca; Decapoda; Palaemonidae. The record is from RNAcentral.
UACCACAUCCAAGGAAGGCAGCAGGCACGCAAAUUACCCAAUCCCAGCUCUGGGAGGUAGUGACGAAAAAUAACAAUGCGGGACUCUUCCGAGUCUGCGUAAUUGGAAUGAGCACACUUUAAAUCCUUUAGCAACAACCAAUUGGAGGGCAAGUCUGGUGCCAGCAGCCGCGGUAAUUCCAGCUCCAAUAGCGUAUAUUAAAGUUGUUGCGGUUAAAAAGCUCGUAGUUCGAGCUCAGUUCCGGACUGGCUGGGGAGGUCACCGCCCGGUGCUUCCCCGUCAGGCUCCGAACAGCUUCCGUGAGUGGAAGCCAAGCCGGUUCUGCCGGGGUGCUCUUUACCGAGUGUCCCGCGCGGCCGGCCAGUUCACCUUGAAUAAAUGAGAGUGCUCAAAGCAGGCUACUCUCGAAUACAAUGCCCGAAUGUUACCUGCAUGGAAUGAUGGAAGAUGAUCUCGGUUCCAUUUUCUUGGUGGUGGGAGCCAGAGGUAAUGAUAAAGAGGGACUGUCGGGGGCAUC